UCGCGGCCUUGGGUUGUUUCGGCGCCGC
Molecule: small RNA, 28 nt
Filed under: Bombyx mori (domestic silkworm)
Lineage: Eukaryota; Metazoa; Arthropoda; Insecta; Lepidoptera; Bombycidae
Description: ovarian small RNA-7586
Source: RNAcentral